CCUACGGGGGGCUGCAGUGAGGAAUAUUGGUCAAUGGACGAGAGUCUGAACCAGCCAAGUAGCGUGAAGGAUGACUGCCCUAUGGGUUGUAAACUUCUUUUAUAUGGGAAUAAAAUGUUCCACGUUUGGGAUUUUGUAUGUACCAUAUGAAUAAGGAUCGGCUAACUCCGUGCUAGCAGCCGCGGUAAUACGGAGGAUCCGAGCGUUAUCCGGAUUUUUUGGGGUUAAAGGGAUCGUAGGUGGAUUGUUAAGUCAGUUGUGAAAGGUUGCGGCUCAACCGUAAAAUUGCAGUUGAAACUGGCAGUCUGGAGUACAGUAGAGGUGAGCGGAAUGCGUGGUGUAGCGGUGAAAUGCUUAGAUAUCACGAAGAACACCGAUUGCGAAGGCAGCUCACUGGACUGCAACUGACACUGAGGCUCGAAAGUGUGGGUAUCAAACAGGAUUAGAUACCCGAGUAGUC
Molecule: ribosomal RNA, 460 nt
Filed under: uncultured bacterium
Lineage: Bacteria
Description: partial 16S ribosomal RNA
Rfam family: Bacterial small subunit ribosomal RNA
Source: RNAcentral